This 508-nucleotide ribosomal RNA is filed under the name uncultured bacterium. RNAcentral's name for it is "bacterial SSU rRNA". It matches the Rfam family "Bacterial small subunit ribosomal RNA", at positions 30 to 533 of the family's 1533-position model. The record is from RNAcentral.
AUUGAACGCUGGCGGAAUGCUUUACACAUGCAAGUCGAACGGCAGCACGGGAGCUUGCUCCUGGUGGCGAGUGGCGAACGGGUGAGUAACGCGUCGGAACGAACCGAGUAAUGGGGGAUAACGCAGCGAAAGCUGUGCUAAUACCGCAUACGCCCUGAGGGGGAAAGUGGGGGAGUCGCAAGACCUCACGUUAUUCGAGCGGCCGACGUCUGAUUAGCUUGUUGGUGAGGUAAUGGCUCACCAAGGCGACGAUCAGUAGCGGGUCUGAGAGGACGACCAGCCACACUGGGACUGAGACACGGACCCGACUCCUACGGGAGGCAGCAGUAAGGAAUAUUGGUCAAUGGAGGGAACUCUGAACCAGCCAUGCCGCGUGAAGGAUGACGGCCCUCUGGGUUGUAAACUUCUUUUGGAUGGGGCGAAAAAACGGGAUUUAUCCUGGACUGACGGUACCAUCAGAAUAAGCACCGGCUAACUCCGUGCCAGCAGCCCGGUAAAGUAGUCGUGU